RNAcentral lists this ribosomal RNA (501 nucleotides) under Pichia fermentans. RNAcentral describes it as "partial large subunit ribosomal RNA". It matches the Rfam family "Eukaryotic large subunit ribosomal RNA", at positions 404 to 916 of the family's 3401-position model. The record is from RNAcentral. Lineage: Eukaryota; Fungi; Ascomycota; Pichiomycetes; Pichiales; Pichiaceae.
AUUGUUGAAAGGGAAGGGUAUUGCGCCCGACAUGGAGCGUGCGCACCGCUGCCCCUCGUGGGCGGCGCUCUGGGCGUGCUCUGGGCCAGCAUCGGUUUUUGCCGCGGGAGAAGGGCGGCGGGCAUGUAGCUCUUCGGAGUGUUAUAGCCUGCCGCCGGCGCCGCGAGCGGGGACCGAGGACUGCGACUUUUGUCUCGGAUGCUGGCACAACGGCGCAACACCGCCCGUCUUGAAACAUGGACCAAGGAGUCUAACGUCUAUGCGAGUGUUUGGGUGUGAAACCCCGGGCGCGUAAUGAAAGUGAACGUAGGUCGGACCGCUCCUCUCGGGGGGCGGGCACGAUCGACCGAUCCUGAUGUCUUCGGAUGGAUUUGAGUAAGAGCAUAGCUGUUGGGACCCGAAAGAUGGUGAACUAUGCCUGAAUAGGGUGAAGCCAGAGGAAACUCUGGUGGAGGCUCGUAGCGGUUUCUGACGUGCAAAUCGAUUCGUCGAAAUUUGGGU